Molecule: ribosomal RNA, 253 nt
Filed under: uncultured bacterium
Lineage: Bacteria
Description: partial 16S ribosomal RNA
Rfam family: Bacterial small subunit ribosomal RNA
Source: RNAcentral
UACGUAGGUGACAAGCGUUGUCCGGAUUUACUGGGCGUAAAGAGCGCGCAGGCGGUCGAUCAAGUCGAGUGUGAAAGCCCCCGGCUCAACUGGGGAGGGUCAUUCGAUACUGAUCGACUCGAAGGCAGGAGAGGGUAGUGGAAUUCCCGGUGUAGUGGUGAAAUGCGUAGAUAUCGGGAGGAACACCAGUGGCGAAGGCGACUACCUGGCCUGUUCUUGAUGCUGAGGCGCGAAAGCUAGGGGAGCAAACGGG